This 484-nucleotide ribosomal RNA is filed under the name uncultured bacterium. RNAcentral's name for it is "partial 16S ribosomal RNA". It matches the Rfam family "Bacterial small subunit ribosomal RNA", at positions 30 to 507 of the family's 1533-position model. The record is from RNAcentral.
AUUGAACGCUGGCGGCAGGCCUAACACAUGCAAGUCGAGCGGAUGAAGGGAGCUUGCUCCUGGAUUCAGCGGCGGACGGGUGAGUAAUGCCUAGGAAUCUGCCUGGUAGUGGGGGAUAACGUCCGGAAACGGGCGCUAAUACCGCAUACGUCCUGAGGGAGAAAGUGGGGGAUCUUCGGACCUCACGCUAUCAGAUGAGCCUAGGUCGGAUUAGCUAGUUGGUGGGGUAAAGGCCUACCAAGGCGACGAUCCGUAACAGGUCUGAGAGGAUGAUCAGUCACACUGGAACUGAGACACGGUCCAGACUCCUACGGGAGGCAGCAGUGGGGAAUAUUGGACAAUGGGCGAAAGCCUGAUCCAGCCAUGCCGCGUGUGUGAAGAAGGUCUUCGGAUUGUAAAGCACUUUAAGUUGGGAGGAAGGGCAGUAAGUUAAUACCUUGCUGUUUUGACGUUACCAACAGAAUAAGCACCGGCUAACUUCGUG